GUCGUGAGAUGUUGGGUUAAGUCCCGCAACGAGCGCAACCCUUGUCAUUAGUUGCUACAUUCAGUUGGGCACUCUAAUGAGACUGCCGGUGACAAACCGGAGGAAGGUGGGGAUGACGUCAAGUCCUCAUGGCCCUUAUGGGUAGGGCUUCACACGUAAUACAAUGGCGCGUACAGAGGGUUGCUAAGCCGCGAGGUAGAGCCAAUCCCUUAAAGCGCGUCGUAGUCCGGAUUGCAGUCUGCAACUCGACUGCAUGAAGUCGGAAUCGCUAGUAAUCGCGGAUCAGCAUGUCGCGGUGAAUACGUUCCCGGGUCUUGUACACACCGCCCGUCACACCAUGGGAGUGGGUUUCACCAGAAGCCGGUCGCCUAACCGCAAGGGGGGCGCCGACCACGGUGAGAUUCAUGACUGGGGUGAAGUCGUAACAAGGUAGCCGUAUCGGAAGGUGCGGCUGGAUCACCUCCUUUCUAAGACAAGUACCUCUCAGUGCCCACCCUCUAUCGGCUGUUAUUUGAAGUUGCAGCCGUUUCAUGUUGACCACACGAAGGGGGUCUGUAGCUCAGUUGGUUAGAGCACCGUCUUGAUAAGGCGGGGGUCGAUGGUUCGAAUCCAUCCAGACCCACCAGACACCUGAAUCACCGGGGCCAUAGCUCAGCUGGGAGAGCGCCUGCUUUGCAAGCAGGAGGUCACCGGUUCGAUCCCGGUUGGCUCCACCACUGCGGGCGCAGGGCGCGACCUUCUGCGGGCCCCUGGCGGGGAGCGAAGAGGAAUCAGCAAUCAACAGCGCGAAUGCGAUGUUGAUUGGUGCUUCUUCGAUAGAAACACCGAUCGGCUGCUCUUUAACAAUUCGGGAUGGAAGGUAAAGUGAUUCGCGUAGGCGAGGGGCGUUCGCGGUAUGGGACGCGCUCGAGCGUGCGUGGAUCAUGGGUUAUGUAUUGCAUCGUGUGUCUUCACCGGUCGAGUGGUGGAGGCGCGCAAGCAUGAAGCGUGAGAAUUUCUUAUUUCUUUGUGAUGCUCUGGGGGACUUUGCCCUGGGGUGCUUCUUCUCUAAAGGAGGAGGCAGCAAGGUUAUAGGGUCAAGCGAAUAAGUGCAUGUGGUGGAUGCCUUGGCAAUGAUAGGCGACGAAGGACGUGACAGCCUGCGAUAAGCUGCGGGGAGCCGGCAAAUGGGCGCUGAUCCGCAGAUUU
Molecule: small RNA, 1188 nt
Filed under: uncultured beta proteobacterium
Lineage: Bacteria; Pseudomonadati; Pseudomonadota; Betaproteobacteria
Description: bacterial SSU rRNA
Rfam family: Bacterial small subunit ribosomal RNA (bases 1-467)
Source: RNAcentral